GCUCAGUGCGGCAACUGGAGCGGCGGCGGCGGCGGCGAGUGUAGCACGCUGCAGAGCGACUCCACGCACCUGACCGUGCUGGCGCCGUCCGAGCACGCGCCGCCCACCGACUCGGACGACGACCUCAACCAGAUCCGGCCCGCUCACUAGCCGACGAACGCUGGUGGCAAGCGCACGAGCGAGGUGAGCAAUCAUUUCCCAUUCUAUGUAUCCAGUAUUAUUGUGAAGCACUCAUAUUUAUUAGUGGUUAUAAUUAUUAAUCGUAUUUGUAUUUAAUGUGAUUUUAUUAUUGUAUUAUCAAUUACAAUUGACGUGUAUAAGUCAAUUGGGGGUUCAAGAUAUUUUGACUUUGAUAAUUGUAUACCUGUUUUAACAAUAUACAUUUCGCUGACCUGACACUGCCAUAGUGCGAUAAUAAAAUCAAUGUAACGCAGCGACAGUAAUUCACUUUGUUGCACAUGUAGGUAGGUAGGUAGUACAUAGAUACGUACAGCUUUGGUCAGAAGUAUUACGUAUUGUUUUUUUAUAAAACGUUAAAAUAUAGUUCAUAUUUAUUUGACAUUUGACAAUGAAUAAUAUUUCACAGAAAAACGUGAUAUCAACAGUUUUUUAUCUACAAGACGAGGUACCUUCGUAAAAUAUACUAUUGACCAAGGCUGCGAAACUCGAAAUUACACUUAGUGGAGUGUUUCAAAAUAUUCCUCGUACUUCUAUUCUAUCAUAAAACCGAAUAAGGUGAGGAUCAGAUAUGGGUACUUUAAGAUGCGACUCAUUUUUACUACAUUACUUAUCCUUUUUUAAUGUGAGUACAUCGAGAUUUGCUGUAUUACGUAACGGGCUUGAACCUCAAUUGUAAGAUAUGGUUGUGUUGUGUUUGUAAGUUAUUUUCCCGAAGUGUAAUUUGAAAGGUGACAAAUACGUCGUAGUUUGAGUAAAAGGUGCGUUCGGAUUAUUAGCUAAUUUAAUGUCAGAUAUCAAACUUCACGUGCAAAUAAGUGAGGCCUAAAUUGUUUCCACUGACAAUGUCUAGAAUGAGAUGUUUAUAAUGAUGAGGCCUACUUGAACGAUAUGCUUAAUGCUGAGAAAACUAUGCACAAAACUGCGUAAUUUGAAGGUUGAUAAUCUAGAUUUUUCGAUGUUUGAUAUUUAUUACUUUAUUAUUACAAAUAUUAAGAAUCACUUCUCAUUUAUUACAAUUUUCGGCUUUGUUAAGUUGGCAUUUUAGGAUUUUUUUGAAUUCUAUGUUCAAUGACAGGAAUAUAAUAAAAAAUAAAUAUACUUUAACUGUCCAUUUUUAUAGAAAGAAAGCUUUAAUUUUUAGUCUUUUUUUGAAAGCACAUUGCGAUUUGGAUGUGAUGAACGGGUAAACUCUUAAAAGAGUAUAGAAUAAGUGAAAGUAUGUAAUAAAAUUAUAUUUUACACGAAAAAAAAUGUAUAAAAUGAAUCGGUGAAUCGUGACAUGUUCAGAAACAGGUUUGUUAUGUUUUAAAUAUUUAUUGGUAAUUCAUAUUUAUGUUGGUUGAUGCAAAGCAUUACACGUAGCACUGGGCUCCAAGUUCGAUAUUGUUAGAAUAACCGCAACAUUGUUUUCAAUAGGGAAUAUUACGCAAAACUCUGCGCAGACGGCGUCACUAACAUAAACACUGGGACUACCGCGAAACACGGAAAUCCAAAGUUCAGUUUCUGUCUCUUCUCUUGCAUAUUCCAUAGAUAGAGAGGCAGGUAACGAAAUUUCAAUUUUCGAGUUCGCGGCAGGCCUCCUGUAAACAAACCGCCUUGAUGCAUCAAUUUCAUAGUAAAAACUUGUCAAAAAACUGUUUAAGGCACAGUAUGUAUAGGUUACUCUAUGGUUUAGGAUGUGCGCUAGUGCUGCACCCUGGCGGCAGAAUAUUGCAGUAAUACUCCCUAAUACUAGCUGCUGGCCUAUUGAUGUCUGCUCCCCGCGCGUCCAACCACCACUCUACCAAAGAGGAAGGCCUGGCGGCGGGUACCGGGCACCCAACCGGUCGAAGUGGCAUGUGACCAGUAGCUGUAGCGGUAGCGAUCAGCUCCAUUAGCUUGUGAUAACUAUAUUUUUCGCCAAAGUUUAUUUUAGUUGAUUUGUUGAUUAAAGCUCAAAAAUAUUUUUUGAUACUGUGGUUAUUAUAUCUCAAAGAGCAACUAAUUCGUUUGCAAUUAUAUUGAUUAGUCAGUACAUUUAGUUAUAUCAAUAUCAAUCAAUUGUCAAGUAAAAUCGAGCUAUAUCGACUACGGAAUAAGAAGUAUGUACAUAAAUCUAAAUUGUAUAAUAGAUAGAGGUAGCUAGCAUUAGAAAAGGUAAGUUGGCGUUUGACGUUCAGCAAUUCUUCUAUUUAGAACUUUGUCCACUUUAUCGCUCAAUUUCUAGUCUUAUUAUUUAAAAUCAACUUUAUUAAUAUUACUUAGUUACAAGGCUUUAAAGCUCUACUUGACAAUCUUUUAACUGUAUAAAGCGUAAUAUUUACAUUUUUAAGUUUAAGUGUAAUUUUAUUUAUUUAUGUCUACCAGUGUUUCGUUUCUGUUCUUGAUCACGUGCUUCCGUUCCGUGCAAUUGUGACUUGUUUGAGCAAUUAUUAAAAUUGAAUAAUUAGAUGGCCGAGAGAAAUUCAUGGUCACAUUCUGCAAACUUUAUUUGUGUGACGGUCACCCGUAAUACGUUUACUGUUAGUUUUUUGAAUAGUGUGCACUUCAUCCGCAGGAUAACUUUGAUGAUCGUUCGAUACGUUUGUCUAAUACUAAUUGCAAGUAGAUAACGUCAGUGUGACCAACAAUGUGUUAUUUGUCUGGUGACAAAAUUAUAUUUGCUGCAAUUACCGUCGAAUCGUAAAUAUACUGAAGCUAACUAUAAAAGUAUAAACCUGACGUUAAUACAACUGCCACAAAUAUUCUAAUUAAGUAUAAUAGAAGCAGAACAAAAUGUAUAUCUAACCUGUGAGAUAAAUAAGAUUAUCUAAUUGCCCAGUCUGAUAUGUUUGACAUUUUAAAUUAUUAAUUAUACCUUCGUUAAUAUUUUUUUUAUUGUAAAAACCUAUAGUAUGACUGUUUUGGUAAUUUACAUUCCUUUUAUUAUUUACUUUUUGUUUUAUUUGAAUAUAGCUAUAGAUAGCCUAACCUGUAGGUAUCUAGCUAGAGUAGUCAUUUAAAUAUAAAGUAAUACGUCCUACAGGUAUCUUACAAUUCUUUUAGUCGGGUUCUAAUAAUGUUAUAUUGCUCAGAUUUAUGCAUUUCGCCUCCAAAUUAUUGAACUGCAGAUAUUUCCGACGAGUCUGACAGUACCUAGUCGUAACUUAAGGGGCCCACUGAUUACCAGUCCGCCAGCAGUCUCUGGCCUUAUCGGGAGGCCCGCCGUCCUAGGCCAAUAACUUCCACAUGAGGGAUUAUUGUCUGCCGACAACGGCCUGCUGCCACCUUUGCAUUUGAGAGUCGUCAGUUUUAACGGUAACGCCGGUAACGGAUGUAAAUUUGACGGGGCCCUAUAAAUUGACAGUUCGCCGGACGAUAUCAGCCUGACAGUUUGUCGCAACAGAGCCCACACCUUUACAGUUCUAUUUCAGACCACGGACUGUCCGGCCGAUAUCCGUCGGCGCUGACCGAAUACAUCCAGCGGCCACACACUAUCGGUUCUUGUUAGCCGUCAGACGGAAAUCUGAACGAGAACUGUUAGUGUGCGGCCUCUUCCGAUUAACUGACUGGCUGAUAUCUUCCGGCGAACUGGUAAUCAGUGGACCCCUUUACACCUAUACACCUAGUAAUAAUAAUUACCCAUAUAUCAAUAACAUCUAUUUUAGUUAUCUAUCUGCCUAGCCACAGCUAAGACUGCUUCGACUAAAAAUUUUGUAGUUCAAUAUCCCGCUGGCGUAAGUCCUAUGUUAUGUCGCUAAUCUUAAAAACGAUUGACAGUUAUUACCCACGUAUGAACUAUUUCAAAAGUAUACACACCCCGAUGAAGGCGAUGUUUCUUUAUUAAGUAUCCAUGGAUUUUAUAAAAUAAAAUGGAUGUUAGCAAUAGCUGUAAGCAUUUAAACAAAUUGGUCGUUAUCAUGGAAAACGCACGAGAUCCAUUUCUAAUUAGUAAUCAUUUCUAAAUAGUUUCUUAGGUAAGUAAAUAUAUAUUAAGAAACAAGAGUAAACCUAAAGGUUUACCCUAAAAACGAUCUUUGACUGCGUAGGCCGGUUUUAAAACUAUGUCUGUCGAUUGCAAUGUUUGAUUUGAAGCUAGCGUUAAGCAUGUUGUACCUUUUAAGGAAACCGCAUAAAAGCUAAGAAAUAUGUAGCCCUUUGGCCUUACACGCGCCGUUGUCGAGAAUACAUGGACAACUUUAAUUUCAUGUUGCGUGACCAUUUUAAUAAUAUAUUGGGUAUUGGUUUAAGGCCUGUACACACCGGCUGCGUGUGCGUGACGUGCACGUGCGGCGUUGUAGUAUACAGAUCCUUAUGAGAGAUGGCACACCGCUUGCGUGACGUGUGUGUGUGCGUGCGGCUCCAACAUUUUAGCGCACGCACACGCGCACGUCACGCACACGCAAGCCGGUGUGGCUCGGCCUUUAUAUAGGAUUUUUUUUUGAUGAUUGAUGAUGAUUUUACAUUUUAUGAUUUUUUAUAGUUUUGCUAAAUUAAGUAAUCCCAUAAUGAUUACCCUUGAUAUCGUCUAUAUCUCGUAUAUCUACAUGUCUGACUGAGUCCUAUUCUUAGAUUUAUUUAUUUGGCCUCAAGGGUACGGCUUUUGGGUUAGUAAAACGUAUAUUUGACAAUAUGUAUGUUGAAGAUUCAUGUCAGGAGGACAAACUAGUGGAGGCUCAUAUUGUUUUAGAGAGCAACGAAUGAGGACGUCGGAGUUUUACACUCAUAACAGCAGUGACAUUCACUUCCACUAGUUUAGUCUCCUAUGUACUAUUGUCCUCAUCUUGAUUCUGUAUGGUACUGCGUGAUGUGAUAUAUCAGAAGAUUGUACUAAGUAGAUAUAAGCAAUGUCGGUUUAGUACCGAAUCGUGGACUGUGGGUCCCUUCUUGCCAAUAAUGUAAUUUACGGACGUUAUUUUAAUAAAUAAUUUGUCGUCGUA
Cydia fagiglandana is the source of this 5078-nucleotide long non-coding RNA. RefSeq lists it as uncharacterized. The transcript has 2 exons. Lineage: Eukaryota; Metazoa; Arthropoda; Insecta; Lepidoptera; Tortricidae. The record is from RefSeq and is a predicted model, not a curated record.